CCCCAAUAUCAGCGCAUCCUGCUUCGCGGGGCGGGUGUUGGGGUUAGAGCCACCACUUAAGUGGUGGUUGUGUGGCAGGCUUCAAGAAGGCCGCCGAGUGGUAGUUUUGGAGGGAAAAUGUACCAAGUUAAAAAGUCAGGCGAGCGAGAGGAUUCGUCGGGUCCGGAAGGUCGGGCGAGUAAAGAAUUUACCCAAGUCUAAAAUACCGGCGGCAGCGUACCCGGGACUCCAAGUAAGUUGGGGAAAGAAGUUGGCGUAUUUUCUUUUCCAACUUAUUUUUCCAACCAACUUAACUUGACCAACUUACCCGCCUGAAUUGCCUGAGCUCCCGGGUAGGCUGCGGUUGAUUUUUGGGCUUGGCAGGAAAGUAAAAGAAUUUCACCAAGUCCAAAAGUUAAUCGUAGCUUACCCGGGAGCUCAGGCAAGUAAAAAUCUCACCAAGUCAAAAAAUCAACUAUAACCUACCCGGGAGCCCAGGCAGGUCAGGCGGGUAAAUUCCGCCAAGUUGGCAGGGAACUAACUGAUUGUAAAUUGAUUCAAGCAAAUCCGCCGAGUCCACACAUCAGUCGCAGCCUACCCGGUAGGCCUGUGUGUUUCCCGUGCGAUUUCCCGUAAAGACUAAAAAGUCAAGUGUUUUAGUACUUGACUUAUAUAGGCGUGAGUUAUUUUUUUCAUUUUCCUAUAUAAAUAAAUUUUGCGGAAAAUAAAAAGUAGUAUAUAAGCACUUAGCAGCAGAGGUAAACUCUUAAAGUAGUCGGCGGGUAUAUAAAAGAGAGAGGGCUGGACACGCGUUGUGUUACGUAUUUCUGCCGCGCCCAACACUUUUAGCUUUAGGGUAGGCUGCUUGUUUAGAGGCGCGUAGAAUUAGAUGGUCUCUUAAGUGAGGGGAUUUCUCUGCUGGCCGUUACUUAUGAUCCGGGAGUCCGUGGUGGUGAAGUCAACUGUAAGGCUUAUGUGUGUGUGUGCCGGGGCCUUGUAAGUCCCGACCAGGAACCUUACAGGUCACGUGCUGAUACGAUAAGAUAGAUAAGAUAUGCGGCACGUGUAUCGGCACGUGCUAAUACAGAGUAAUGAUAAGAUCGAUAAGAUACCUGGUAUAAUAAGUAAGAUACCUGCACGUGCCUAGUCACGGAGACUUACACGUGUCCUGCUGCCAAGAUCCCCGAGGUCCCCGAUAUUACCAACCUCGCCGACUACUCCUGGUGUAAUAUGCUGGUGCAGUUGUAUAUAAUUCCUUACUGGUCUUAAUAAUAGUAUACUUGUUGAUCGCGAUGCACCACUCACUUGUGGUGCGGUUGUGCGGCUGUGCUGGCGCAAUUGUGGUGGUGCACUUACUCUACAACAGUGCCGGUACUUACGGUCACAUACAAUUUCCUAGUAUUUUGGCGUAGUUGUGGUGGAGGGUUACCCGGGACCACGGUGCAUUUUUCCGUUUUUUCCAUUUUUUCAAAAUCGACGACCAAAAUGUUGGUAGGUCUGGGUUGCCCCGCCGGCCAAUAGAAAUUUGCAUGGCGCUACUAUAGGGUAGGUACAGGGUAGGCCAUACCGGUACUUGCGGUCGCGCACAAAUCCCUAGCAGCCCGAAGUACCCCCGCGCGCGGGCAACUUCAAACCGCUAUAGCUGCUUCCAGCGGCACCGCACACAACUGUGAGGACCACCAUUCGAUUCUUCUCGCCGAGCUGCAUCGAUUGAGCCCGGGUUGCCAAAAAGUCGGGUGUUUUGGUAUUUGAUUUGUAUGGGCGUGAGUCGAUUUUUUUGUUUUCCCAUACAAAUGAAUUUUGCGGAAAAUAAAAAAUGGAACACGAGCGCCCGGUGGCGGAGGUGGACCCUCGAGGUGGUCGGUGGGUAUGUGAGAAGGGGGCGUCGAAAGAUGCCGGGACAGCUGGGUCUUCGCUGAAAGGCAGGAUUUCCGGUGAGUCACCGCCCUCUCUGUACCAUAUCUUGCCGAGCCCCAGUGCUUGAGUGGCCUCCUGAACACGCCUGCAGAAGCUCUUUUACAGGCUGGGAGGUCACACUGGGGAUUCAAACUCCACGAAGUCGGCGGCUACGGCCGUGCGGCGUACUGGUUAUACCUCGUGGCAGUGGGAGGCACCCGCCUCUUACCGCUCAGGAGAUGGGUUCUGUGGGCUGCUGGCCGCUGGCCAACACGCCGUAAAUCAGAAUAACGGGAGGCAACCACGGGUAGCUGACGCCGAAAUGGCAGAGGCUGCACGGAGCGUCCUCCUCUUAGGGCACCUAUACCGCACUUUACGGUGCGUGUGGACGGCUGCGCCAAGGGAAUUAGGAGGGGGAAAGCGGAUUUGCCGCUGGGCGGUCUCUCCCGGUCAAACGGGCAGGGCACCUCCCGGCGCGCAGCACCCUUUCGAGUGGGGGAAAGGUGUGCCGACCAGUAACUUGGACUAUUCUCUCCGGCGCCCGAGCUAGGGCGUCGGUAGGCCAACCCCGGCGAACGAUAGU
RNAcentral lists this unclassified non-coding RNA (2458 nucleotides) under Metarhizium guizhouense. The record is from RNAcentral. Lineage: Eukaryota; Fungi; Ascomycota; Sordariomycetes; Hypocreales; Clavicipitaceae.